RNAcentral lists this ribosomal RNA (252 nucleotides) under uncultured bacterium. Its description in RNAcentral is "partial 16S ribosomal RNA". It matches the Rfam family "Bacterial small subunit ribosomal RNA", at positions 524 to 776 of the family's 1533-position model. The record is from RNAcentral.
GACGGAGGAUGCAAGCGUUAUCCGGAAUGAUUGGGCGUAAAGCGUCCGCAGGUGGCAGUUCAAGUCUGCUGUCAAAGACCGGGGCUUAACUUCGGAAAGGCAGUGGAAACUGAACAGCUAGAGUAUGGUAGGGGCAACUGGAAUUCUCGGUGUAGCGGUGAAAUGCGUAGAUAUCGAGAGGAACACCUGCGGCGAAGGCGGGUUGCUGGCUGAUACUGACGCUGAGGCGCGAAAGCCAGGGGAGCGAACGGG